This 253-nucleotide ribosomal RNA is filed under the name uncultured bacterium. RNAcentral's name for it is "partial 16S ribosomal RNA". It matches the Rfam family "Bacterial small subunit ribosomal RNA", at positions 524 to 776 of the family's 1533-position model. The record is from RNAcentral.
GACAGAGGGUGCAAACGUUGUUCGGAUUUACUGGGCGUAAAGCGCGUGUAGGCGGCUUGGCAAGUUGGAUGUGAAAGCCCACGGCUCAACCGUGGAAGCGCAUCCAAAACUGCUUCGCUCGAGUCUCGGAGAGGAAGGUGGAAUGCUUGGUGUAGAGGUGAAAUUCGUAGAUAUCAAGCAGAACACCUGCGGCGAAGGCGGCCUUCUGGACGAUGACUGACGCUGAGGUGCGAAAGCGUGGGGAGCAAACAGG